CCUACGGGGCAGCAGUGGGGAAUAUUGGACAAUGGGCGAAAGCCUGAUCCAGCCAUGCCGCGUGUGUGAAGAAGGCCUUCGGGUUGUAAAGCACUUUCAGUGGGGAAGAAAGCCUUGGGGCUAAUACCCUCGAGGAAGGACAUCACCCACAGAAGAAGCACCGGCUAACUCCGUGCCAGCAGCCGCGGUAAUACGGAGGGUGCGAGCGUUAAUCGGAAUUACUGGGCGUAAAGCGCGCGUAGGCGGUCUGAUAAGCCGGUUGUGAAAGCCCCGGGCUCAACCUGGGAACGGCAUCCGGAACUGUCAGGCUAGAGUGCAGGAGAGGAAGGUAGAAUUCCCGGUGUAGCGGUGAAAUGCGUAGAGAUCGGGAGGAAUACCAGUGGCGAAGGCGGCCUUCUGGACUGACACUGACGCUGAGGUGCGAAAGCGUGGGUAGCAAACAGGAUUAGAUACCCCAGUAGUC
RNAcentral lists this ribosomal RNA (463 nucleotides) under Vreelandella stevensii. RNAcentral describes it as "partial 16S ribosomal RNA". It matches the Rfam family "Bacterial small subunit ribosomal RNA", at positions 338 to 795 of the family's 1533-position model. Lineage: Bacteria; Pseudomonadati; Pseudomonadota; Gammaproteobacteria; Oceanospirillales; Halomonadaceae. The record is from RNAcentral.